Long non-coding RNA from Homo sapiens (human), 2407 nucleotides. Ensembl annotates it as chloride channel accessory 3, pseudogene. Its record names the gene CLCA3P. NCBI's taxonomy places the organism in Eukaryota, Metazoa, Chordata, Mammalia, Primates, Hominidae. The record is from Ensembl.
AGGUUUGUUUAACAUGCAAAAAUGGUGUUCAGUCUGAAGGUGAUUCUCUUCCUAUCCUUGCUUCUCUCGCCUGUAUUGAAAAGCUCACUGGUAACUUUGAAUAACAAUGGAUAUGAUGGCAUUGUCAUUGCAAUUAAUCCCAGUGUACCAGAAGAUGAAAAACUCAUUCAAAACAUAAAGGAAAUGGUAACUGAAGCAUCUACUUACCUGUUUCAUGCCACCAAACAAAGAGCUUAUUUCAGGAAUGUAAGCAUUUUAAUUCCAAUGACCUACAAAUCAAAAUCUGAGUACUUAAUCCCAAAACAAGAAUCAUAUGACCAGGCAGAUGUCAUAGUUGCUGAUCUUUACCUGAAAUACGGAGAUGAUCCCUAUACACUUCAAUAUGGACAAUGUGGAGAUAAAGGACAAUAUAUACAUUUUACUCCAAACUUCUUGUUGACUAAUAACUUGGCUACCUAUGGGCCUCGAGGUAGAGUAUUUGUCCAUGAGUGGGCCCAUCUCCGGUGGGGAGUAUUUGAUGAGUAUAAUGUGGACCAGCCAUUCUAUAUUUCCAGAAGAAACACUACUGAAGCAACAAGAUGUUCCACUCGUAUUACUGUUUACAUGGUUUUGAACGAAUGCAAGGGGGCCAGCUGUAUAGCACGACCAUUCAGACGUGACUCAAAGACAGGGCUGUAUGAAGCAAAAUGUACAUUUAUCCCAAAGAGAUCCCAGACUGCCAAGGAAUCCAUUGUGUUUAUGCAAAAUCUUGAUUCUGUGACUGAAUUUUGUACUGAAAAAACACACAAUAAAGAAGCUCCAAACCUAUAGAACAAAAUGUGCAAUCACAGAAGCACAUGGGAUGUAAUCAUGAGCUCUGAAGAUUUUCAGCAUUUAUCUCCCAUGACAGAAAUAAAUUUACCUCGUCCUACAUUUUCAUUGCUCAAGUCCAAACAGCGUGUAGUCUGUUUGGUACUUGAUAAAUCUGGAAGCAUGAAUGCAGAAGACCGUCUCUUUCGAAUGAAUCAAGCAGCAGAAUUGUACUUGAUUCAAAUUAUUGAAAAGGGAUCCUUGGUUGGGUUGGUCACAUUUGACAGUUUUGCUAAAAUCCAAAGUAAGCUCAUAAAAAUAAUUGAUGAUAACACUUACCAAAAGAUCACUGCAAACCUGCCUCAAGAAGCUGAUGGUGGCACUUCAAUUUGCAGGGGACUCAAAGCAGGAUUUCAGGCAAUUCCCCAGAGUAAUCAGAGUACUUUCGGUUCUGAAAUCAUAUUACUAACAGAUGGGGAAGAUUAUCAAAUAAGCUUAUGCUUUGGAGAGGUAAAACAAAGUGGCACAGUCAUCCACACCAUUGCUCUGGGGCCGUCUGCUGACGAAGAACUGGAGACCCUGUCAAAUAUGACAGGAGGACAUCGUUUUUAUGCCCAUAAAAACAUAAAUGGCCUUAUUGAUGCUUUCAGCAGAAUUUCAUCUAGAAGUGGCAGCAUCUCUCAGCAGGCUCUUCAGUUGGAAAGUAAAACUUUGAAUAUCCCAGCGAAGAAAUGGAUAAAUGGUACAGUGCCUGUGGAUAGUACAGUUAGAAAUGAUACUUCCUUUGUUGUCACAUGGACGAUACAAAAGCCAGCAAUAAUUCUUCAAGAUCCAAAAGAAAAAAAUAUACUACCUCAGAUUUUCAAGAAGGUGAACUAAAUAUUCGGUCUGCCCGUCUUCGAAUACCAGGUAUUGCAGAGACAGGCACUUGGACUUACAGCGUUCGAAACAAUCAUACCAAAUCUCAAUUGCUAACUGUGACAAUGACCACUCGAGCAAGAAGCCCUACCACACUCCCAGUAAUUGCAACUGCUCACAUGAGUCAAAAUACAGCUCAUUACCCUAGCCCAGUGAUUGUUUAUGCAUGAGUCAGUCAAGGGUUUCUUCCUGUUCUGGGAAUCAAUGUAACAGCCAUUAUAGAAAAUGAAGAGGGACAUCAAGUAACAUUGGAGCUCUGGGACAAUGGCGCAGGUGCUGAUUCUGUCAAGAAUGAUGGCAUCUACUCAAGGUAUUUUACAGAUUACCAUGGAAAUGGUAGAUACAGUUUAAAAGUGCUUACCCAGGCAAGAAAAAACACAGCUAGGCUAAGUCAACAACAGAAUAAAGCUCUGUAUGUACCGCGCUAUGCUGAAAAUGGAAAAAUUAUACUGAACCCAUCCAAACCUGAAGUCACAGAUGAUGUGGAAGGAGCUCAAACAGACGACUUCAGCAGACUCAUCUCUGGAGGGUCGUUUACUGUAUCAGGAGUGCCUCCUAAUGGUAAUCAUUCUCAGGUGUUCUCACCUGGUAAAAUUGUAGACCUCGAGGCUAAGUUUCAAGGAGAUCAUAUUCAACUUUCAUGGACUGCCCCUGGCAAGGUCCUCGAUAAAGGAAGAGAAUCAAAAAAAGUGAAAAAUAC